GACGAACGCUGGCGGCGUGGAUUAGGCAUGCAAGUCGAACGGUAUCAUCCUUUCGGGGGUGAGAGAGUGGCGAACUGGUGAGUAACACGUAGGUUAUCUACCCUCAAGACGGGGACAACCCAGGGAAACUUGGGCUAAUACCGGAUGUGAGCAACUUUUAGUUGUUUGAAAGGUGGCGUAAGCUGUCGCUUGGGGAUGAGCCUGCGUCCUAUUAGUUAGUUGGUGAGGUAACGGCUCACCUAGGCAAUGAUAGGUAGGCGGCCUUAACGGGUGGUCGCCCACACUGGGAUUGAGAUACGGCCCAGACUCCUACGGGAGGCAGCAGUCGAGAAUAGUCUACAAUGGUCGGAAGACUGAUAGUGCGACGCCGCGUGAACGAUGAAUCCCUUCGGGGUGUAAAGUUCUUUUAUAUGUGAGCAGUGCCCUUUAUAUUGAAUAGUAUAGAGGGAGGAUUUAAGCGUAUGAAUAAGCAACGGCUAACUCCGUG
RNAcentral lists this ribosomal RNA (487 nucleotides) under uncultured bacterium. RNAcentral's name for it is "bacterial SSU rRNA". It matches the Rfam family "Bacterial small subunit ribosomal RNA", at positions 28 to 507 of the family's 1533-position model. The record is from RNAcentral.